RNAcentral lists this ribosomal RNA (500 nucleotides) under Alternaria tenuissima. Its description in RNAcentral is "eukaryotic LSU rRNA". The stretch from base 149 to 296 matches the Rfam family "5.8S ribosomal RNA". Lineage: Eukaryota; Fungi; Ascomycota; Dothideomycetes; Pleosporales; Pleosporaceae. The record is from RNAcentral.
GCUGGAAUCUCUCGGGGUUACAGCCUUGCUGAAUUAUUCACCCUUGUCUUUUGCGUACUUCUUGUUUCCUUGGUGGGUUCGCCCACCACUAGGACAAACAUAAACCUUUUGUAAUUGCAAUCAGCGUCAGUAACAAAUUAAUAAUUACAACUUUCAACAACGGAGCUUUCGGUUCUGGCUUCGAUAAACAAGGCAGCGGAAUGCGAUAAGUAGUGUGAAUUGCAUUCUGUGAAUCUUAGCUUUGAACGCACAUUGCGCCCUUUGGUAUUCCAAAGGGCAUGCCUGUUCUAGCGUAACUUGUACCCUCAUGCUUUGCUGGGGGUUGGGCGUCUUGUCUCUUGAUUUUCAGGACACUCACCUUAAGGUAAUUGGCAUCCGGCCUACGGGUUUCGGAGCGCAGGACACGUCGCACUCUCUAUCAACAAAGGUCUAGCAUCCAUUAAGCCUUUUUUCAACUUUGGACCUCGGAUCACGUCGGGAUACCCGCUGAACUUAAGCAU